Molecule: long non-coding RNA, 1153 nt
Filed under: Citrus sinensis (sweet orange)
Lineage: Eukaryota; Viridiplantae; Streptophyta; Magnoliopsida; Sapindales; Rutaceae
Description: long non-coding RNA (CSIN_LNC005015)
Source: RNAcentral
UUACAAUUGACUUCGAGGUGUCAAUAAACCUUUACAACAAAGAGAUUAUCUCCCAAUCUCUUCACUCAAGUGUCUCACACACUCAAACUCUUACAAAUGAAAUGAAGAAAUGAAAGUUACAAUCAAACUCACUCAAUGAGUAGAUAUUCAAAGAUGAAGAACAAUGAAUGAUUCAAUGAUUUUGUGUUUUGCAAGUUGUAAGCUCAAGAUAUCACGUGUGCUUUUUGUUUUUGCUUGUUGGAGAGAGUCAAAAUGAGUUGGAUUUGAGUUCUUAUAACUUGAGCUCGAAAACUAGCCGUUACUCACAUUCUGGGCUAUCCGAUUUGCUGUUUUAUGGAAUCCGGUAAGCCGAAUUUAUGUUACCGUUAAGGCAAAAUUCAAAUUUUGCCUAACCGGUUUGCCGGUUACUAAAAUCCGGUAUGCCGUUUUCGUUCUGGAUGCUUACUGCCCCGAAUCCAGAUUUUCGAUUUUUAGAAUCCGGUAAGCCGCUUGCUACAGUAACCUACUACAGUGAAAAUUUUCCCAUAUUUUCAAUUUGACCCCAAAAUUUUAUAAAACUGUAGUAUGACCCCAAAAGUUAUAAACGUUUUCAAAUAGGUCCAAUUUCAUAAUUUUAAAUAAUGCUUUCUCAAUCCCACAACUUUAUGAAAUUAUGACUUCGCCCAAACUUUAUGAAAUUAUAAAAUGGCCCAAAAAUAUUUAAAUAGUUUCAAAUAGGUCCAAAUUCGAAAUUUCAAGCACUACUUAUUUAUUUCAAAGUUUUCAAAAUAAGAGAAACAAACACACGAAUUUUUACGUGGUUCGGCAAUCCCCGCCUACGUCCACGCCUCCAAGCACACCGGGCUUGAGGAUUUCACUAUCCAAGCCUUUCCAAGGCUUCAACAAUUACAAUUGACUUCGAGGUGUCAAUAAACCUUUACAACAAAGAGAUUAUCUCCCAAUCUCUUCACUCAAGUGUCUCACACACUCAAACUCUUACAAAUGAAAUGAAGAAAUGAAAGUUACAAUCAAACUCACUCAAUGAGUAGAUAUUCAAAGAUGAAGAACAAUGAAUGAUUCAAUGAUUUUGUGUUUUGCAAGUUGUAAGCUCAAGAUAUCACGUGUGCUUUUUGUUUUUGCUUGUUGGAGAGAGUCAAAAUGAGUUGGAUUUGAG